GUAACCAUUUCAGGUGUCACUCAUACAACUAUCGUUCAUCGGAUGAGAGAAUGUGGCUGGCCAGUAUCAGAAUCCAAUAAGUAACCCUGAGACGGAGUAUUCAGACUCAAUGGCAGUUGAACAAUAUGGUGGAGAUGCUGACCAUGUUCACUUUGCGGUCAACGUACCUGUAAUUCACAGGCCACAACUCACAAAUGAGCAGAUUGACCCACUGCAAGAGUCUGAUUCAUUUAGAAUAAAUGUAUACCUCCAGACUCUCGCAUAUGUACAGACUUUGGUUGAAGAAAGGGAUAUUUGAAGUUUUAUUUCUGCUGCUCUAAUUAAUUUUGACAGCAAGGUUGUAAAUGUGUAUAUCGUCGCUGUCCGAUGAAAACCAUCCAUGUCCAUUGUGAGGUAAACUAUCAGCAAACGUUUGUUUUUGACAACUGUUCUCAAGUUUAUUAUAUAUUCACAACUAUUAUUUAUCGGUAAAUGGUCUAGACGUACGUCUAGGAGUGACUAAUUUACGGUAGGACUGUGCAAACAAAGUAUCUGUCUAGCAUUACCAUGUCAGUGUAUUGAUUCAUUGUCCCUUCAUAGUUUGCAAGAGACAUUUAAUAAAUUUAUAAUUAAUAUUAAAUAAACUAAGCGUAUUUAAUAAACUAAGACGUAGGCUAUUUAAUAACCUGAGCGUAUUCAUCUGUCAGUAUGAAACGCGACUUGGCCAUUCUAAUUAAUGAUCGGAAGAACGCGUAUGGACCACCGUUACUGUAAAAUAUGCAUGUAUGUCCAUUUAAACUCAAUUUUGGUCAAAUGUGGAUUAUAUCAUUACACUGGCAAGAAUAUGGUUACAUGUAAAGAUGCCGUACCAAGUAUGACAGCGCUACAUUCAACUGCUUUUGAAAUACGGUGUUUUUUUCACUUCCUGAAAAGUAACCGUUUUGGACAUACGUGAGUUUCAUCGGGCAGCGACGAUAUAUAGUUGUAUAUCAAGUAGAAAUUGUGGAGAAAAAAAAACUUUUUAAGACAUAUGUAAAAUAAAGACAGACUCUGAAAAAGAA
Long non-coding RNA from Cyprinus carpio (common carp), 1040 nucleotides. RefSeq lists it as uncharacterized. The record is from RefSeq and is a predicted model, not a curated record. Lineage: Eukaryota; Metazoa; Chordata; Actinopteri; Cypriniformes; Cyprinidae.